This 64-nucleotide transfer RNA is filed under the name Diapriidae sp. ZJUH_2016010. RNAcentral describes it as "tRNA-Phe". The record is from RNAcentral. Lineage: Eukaryota; Metazoa; Arthropoda; Insecta; Hymenoptera; Diapriidae.
AUUUAAAUAUUUUAAAAAAAAUUUUAUAUUGAAAUUAUAAAGAUAUGAUUAUUCAUUUUAAAUA